GGAAGACAGAGGGAGACACUGCCAGCCGCUGCCAUGACAAGAAGCAUGUGAAGACAUGGACUUACUGUCACUGUGACAGCUACGUGAAAGGAAAAAUUAACAGGAAGAAAAACAUCUUGUGGUUUCUGCUUCCCGAGGAUCUAGUCAGCCAUGGAUAAGAAGAUGUGGUAAAUCUCAGCUUGUGAAGUUGAGGGAGCAGAAUGCCUGUACUGACACGAUGUGGCCAACAACUUCAAGAUUUUGCCACCUUGGCUUCCCCAAAAUCCUGGAAUAUAUCUCAAACUGUGGGGCAAAUGGUUGAAAAUGUCCAAAAUUCUUACCUUGUGCUUCAUGAGAAAUUUAAUUAUCAAAUUCUUUAAAUCAGCAUAAAAAUGCUGUCCAGUCAUGGGAAGAAUACUCUAAGGUUCAGAAAAUGAGAGUCAUCAGAGACCUAAGAGAGAAAAACAACAGGAUAGUCCUAGGCAGACACCAGAAGAGCACACAGAGAGCUGCCACUUUGUUUUUCUUCCUCUCAUGAAGUUCUAGAGCAGAAAUGAACUUUGAGAAAAUUGCACAAGGUUAAGUCACAUAGAUCCUAGGGGUCGUCUUGUACUCACAACUGUAACUACUGCUUUAGAGACAAAGUCUGACUGUGUCACCCGUACUGUCCUUGAACUUGUGAUCUCACUGUCUCAGUGAUUCCUGAGUGUCAUUACACUUUUUAUUCCACCAUUUUCAUUCACAGAUGGCUUACAAGCACUUCAAUAAUGUGUUGUGAACCAAUAACACAUAUGCAUACUGGUACAUAAUGGUGGUCAGAACAAAGCAUUUUAUGUAUUUGGAAUGUGUGUAAUAGAGGAAUAAAGACCCAUUAACAUGCAAAGCAGUGGUUCGUAGGUGUGAAUGUGGCUACUGGCACUGGGUGAGUGGGGAGAGGACAAUAGGGAGGGACUAGCCAACACCCACUAUUGCUUCUUUUCUCCACUCUUUUCUUGAGAUAAUAACUACAAAGAAGAGUGCUUUUCUAUCUUAUCGCUAAACACAUUCAGUUAUAUUCACUGCAGUUUCAAAUAUGUUACAACCCAGACACCAUAAACUGGCAUACAUUUGUCUUUCUUCUGUUAUCUGCAUAUGACUUUAAGGAAAGAGCCCUCUUCAGAGUGUAUUAAUCUCUCAAAUUUAUUUUAACAGCUGGUGAUUCUAACUGAUUUUAAUUGGCACAAGAGAAACAUUAAAGUAUAAAUUUUUCCUGGAAUUAUUUAAUAGAGAAUACUUGAUGGAAAAAAAGAAAUACUUUGAACUCUCUGUCCUGGUCUACAUCUUAUGUUAUAUUGAGC
Peromyscus maniculatus bairdii (prairie deer mouse) is the source of this 1316-nucleotide non-coding RNA. Lineage: Eukaryota; Metazoa; Chordata; Mammalia; Rodentia; Cricetidae. The record is from RefSeq and is a predicted model, not a curated record.